Molecule: ribosomal RNA, 624 nt
Filed under: uncultured archaeon
Lineage: Archaea
Description: bacterial SSU rRNA
Rfam family: Archaeal small subunit ribosomal RNA
Source: RNAcentral
AUAAUACUCCAUAGAUUAGAGAUACUGGAAUGUUCUUUAGUCAAAAGUUCUGGCGCCUUAGGAUGGAUCUGCGGUCGAUUAGGUUGUUGUUGGGGUAACGGCCCAACAAGCCUGUAAUCGAUACGGGUUGUGGGAGCAAUAGCCCGGAGAUGGAAUCUGAGACAAGAUUCCAGGCCCUACGGGGCGCAGCAGGCGCGAAAACUUUACAAUGCAGGAAACUGUGAUAAGGGAACCCCGAGUGCCCGUAUACGCGGGCUGUCCAGGUGUUUAAAAGUCAUCUGAAGAAAGGGCCGGGCAAGACCGGUGCCAGCCGCCGCGGUAAUACCGGCGGCUCGAGUGGUGGCCACUAUUAUUGGGCUUAAAGCGUCCGUAGCUGGACUGAUAAGUCUCUUGGGAAAUCCGCCGGCUCAACCGGCGGGCGUCUAAGGGAUACUGUUGGUCUAGGGACCGGGAGAGGUGAGAGGUACUCCGGGGGUAUGAGUGACAUCCUGUAAUCCCCGGGGGACCACCGAUGGCGAAGGCAUCUCACCAAAACGGGUCCGACAGUGAUGGACGAAAGCUGGGGGAGCGAACCGGAUUAAAUAUCCGGGUAGUCCCAAGCCGUAAACUAUGCGCGUUAGGUGU